CCUACGGGUGGCAGCAGUGAGGAAUAUUGGUCAAUGGACGGAAGUCUGAACCAGCCAUGCCGCGUGCAGGAAGACGGCCCUAUGAGUUGUAAACUGCUUUUGUACAAGGGUAAACCUGAAUACGUGUAUUCAGCUGAAAGUACUGUACGAAUAAGGAUCGGCUAACUCCGUGCCAGCAGCCGCGGUAAUACGGAGGAUCCAAGCGUUAUCCGGAUUUAUUGGGUUUAAAGGGUGCGUAGACGGAUUGAUAAGUUAGUGGUGAAAUGUCCGAGCUUAACUCGGGAACUGCCUCUAAUACUGUUGGUCUAGAGAGUAGAUGCGGUAGGCGGAAUGUAUGGUGUAGCGGUGAAAUGCUUAGAGAUCAUACAGAACACCGAUUGCGAAGGCAGCUUACCAAUCUAUAUCUGACAUUGAGGCACGAAAGCGUGGGGAGCAAACAGGAUUAGAUACCCCAGUAGUC
RNAcentral lists this ribosomal RNA (460 nucleotides) under uncultured bacterium. RNAcentral describes it as "partial 16S ribosomal RNA". It matches the Rfam family "Bacterial small subunit ribosomal RNA", at positions 338 to 795 of the family's 1533-position model. The record is from RNAcentral.